ACGUCAAAUCAUCAUGCCCCUUAUGUCCUGGGCUACACACGUACUACAAUGGCGAAUACAAAGGGAAGCAAAACCGCGAGGUGGAGCAAAUCCCCAAAAUUCGUCCCAGUUCGGAUUGCAGGCUGCAACUCGCCUGCAUGAAGUCGGAAUUGCUAGUAAUGGCAGGUCAGCAUACUGCCGUGAAUACGUUCCCGGGCCUU
RNAcentral lists this ribosomal RNA (200 nucleotides) under uncultured organism. Its description in RNAcentral is "partial small subunit ribosomal RNA". It matches the Rfam family "Bacterial small subunit ribosomal RNA", at positions 1182 to 1382 of the family's 1533-position model. The record is from RNAcentral.